UACGUAGGGUGCAAGCGUUGUCCGGAAUUAUUGGGCGUAAAGAGCUCGUAGGCGGUCUGUCGCGUCUGCUGUGAAAACUCAGGGCUUAACCCUGAGCUUGCAGUGGGUACGGGCAGACUAGAGUGCGGUAGGGGAGACUGGAAUUCCUGGUGUAGCGGUGAAGUGCGCAGAUAUCAGGAGGAACACCGGUGGCGAAGGCGGGUCUCUGGGCCGUAACUGACGCUGAGGAGCGAAAGCAUGGGGAGCGAACAGG
This 253-nucleotide ribosomal RNA is filed under the name uncultured bacterium. RNAcentral describes it as "partial 16S ribosomal RNA". It matches the Rfam family "Bacterial small subunit ribosomal RNA", at positions 524 to 776 of the family's 1533-position model. The record is from RNAcentral.